CGAACGGUAACAGGGAGCUUGCUCCGCUGACGAGUGGCGAACGGGUGAGUAAUAUAUCGGAACGUACCCAAGAGUGGGGGAUAACGUAGCGAAAGUUACGCUAAUACCGCAUACGAUCUAUGGAUGAAAGCAGGGGACCUUCGGGCCUUGUGCUCCUGGAGCGGCCGAUAUCUGAUUAGCUAGUUGGUGAGGUAAAGGCUCACCAAGGCGACGAUCAGUAGCUGGUCUGAGAGGACGACCAGCCACACUGGAACUGAGACACGGUCCAGACUCCUACGGGAGGCAGCAGUGGGGAAUUUUGGACAAUGGGCGCAAGCCUGAUCCAGCAAUGCCGCGUGAGUGAAGAAGGCCUUCGGGUUGUAAAGCUCUUUUGUCAGGGAAGAAACGGCUGUGGCUAAUAUCCACGGCUAAUGACGGUACCUGAAGAAUAAGCACCGGCUAACUACGUGCCAGCAGCCGCGGUAAUACGUAGGGUGCAAGCGUUAAUCGGAAUUACUGGGCGUAAAGCGUGCGCAGGCGGUUUUGUAAGUCUGUCGUGAAAUCCCCGGGCUCAACCUGGGAAUUGCGAUGGAGACUGCAAGGCUAGAAUCUGGCAGAGGGGGGUAGAAUUCCACGUGUAGCAGUGAAAUGCGUAGAGAUGUGGAGGAACACCGAUGGCGAACGCAGCCCCCUGGGUCAAGAUUGACGCUCAUGCACGAAAGCGUGGGGAGCAAACAGGAUUAGAUACCCUGGUAGUCCACGCCCUAAACGAUGUCUACUAGUUGUCGGGUUUUAAUUAACUUGGUAACGCAGCUAACGCGUGAAGUAGACCGCCUGGGGAGUACGGUC
Molecule: ribosomal RNA, 828 nt
Filed under: Antarctic bacterium L22
Lineage: Bacteria
Description: bacterial SSU rRNA
Rfam family: Bacterial small subunit ribosomal RNA
Source: RNAcentral